GAUGAAGAACGUAGCGAAAUGCGAUAAGUAAUGCGAAUUGCAGAAUUCCGUGAGUCAUCGAAUCUUUGAACGCACAUUGCGCCCCUUGGUAUUCCGAGGGGCAUGCCUGUUCGAGCGUCAUUAUAACCCCUCAAGCUCAGCUUGGUAUUGGGGCCUGCCAUCCUGGCAGCCCUUAAAAUCAGUGGCGGUGCCAUCCGGCUCUAAGCGUAGUAACUCCUCUCGCUAUGGAGUCCUGGUGGAUGCUUGCCAUUAAUCUUUUAACUUCUAUGGUUGACCUCGGAUCAGGUAGGGAUACCCGCUGAACUUAAGCAUAUCAAUAAGCGGAGGA
This 328-nucleotide unclassified non-coding RNA is filed under the name soil metagenome. RNAcentral describes it as "partial contains 5.8S ribosomal RNA, internal transcribed spacer 2, and large subunit ribosomal RNA". The stretch from base 1 to 120 matches the Rfam family "5.8S ribosomal RNA", at positions 35 to 154 of the family's 154-position model. The record is from RNAcentral.